UGGAAAUUCCAUGCAGUGUUAGUGACAGAU
This 30-nucleotide non-coding RNA is filed under the name Rattus norvegicus (Norway rat). The record is from RNAcentral. Lineage: Eukaryota; Metazoa; Chordata; Mammalia; Rodentia; Muridae.